Lycium barbarum (goji berry) is the source of this 273-nucleotide long non-coding RNA. RefSeq lists it as uncharacterized. The transcript has 3 exons. NCBI's taxonomy places the organism in Eukaryota, Viridiplantae, Streptophyta, Magnoliopsida, Solanales, Solanaceae. The record is from RefSeq and is a predicted model, not a curated record.
AGAGGCGUACCCAAGCAAAUAGAAACAAUAGGACCAAGCAAAAAAUGCCUCACACAGGAGGAUCCAAAAGUAUUGCUACCUUGAUGGAUGGGAAGGCUGAGAAUGGGAUAGAGCCUACCCGAGCACAAGUAUUUAUAUUAACUCACAAGAAACGUAAGGAUGGUAGAUCACUGGAUGAGGAUUCUGCCAAGACAAUUGACAUGAUAAAUGAAAGGAUAAGCAAUAGUGAGAGACCUACUGACCGACCUCCUCAGAGUGUUGCUUAGGAAGGGG